CCCUUAGAGUUUGAUCCUGGCUCAGGAUGAACGCUAGCUACAGGCUUAACACAUGCAAGUCGAGGGGAAACGACAUCGAAAGCUUGCUUUUGAUGGGCGUCGACCGGCGCACGGGUGAGUAACGCGUAUCCAACCUGCCCAUCACUUGGGGAUAACCUUGCGAAAGUAAGACUAAUACCCAAUGAUAUCUCUAGAAGACAUCUGAAAGGGAUUAAAGAUUUAUCGGUGAUGGAUGGGGAUGCGUCUGAUUAGCUUGUUGGCGGGGUAACGGCCCACCAAGGCGACGAUCAGUAGGGGUUCUGAGAGGAAGGUCCCCCACAUUGGAACUGAGACACGGUCCAAACUCCUACGGGAGGCAGCAGUGAGGAAUAUUGGUCAAUGGGCGAGAGCCUGAACCAGCCAAGUAGCGUGCAGGAUGACGGCCCUAUGGGUUGUAAACUGCUUUUAUAAGGGAAUAAAGUGAGCCUCGUGAGGCUUUUUGCAUGUACCUUAUGAAUAAGGACCGGCUAAUUCCGUGCCAGCAGCCGCGGUAAUACGGAAGGUCCGGGCGUUAUCCGGAUUUAUUGGGUUUAAAGGGAGCGUAGGCCGGAGAUUAAGCGUGUUGUGAAAUGUAGAUGCUCAACAUCUGCACUGCAGCGCGAACUGGUUUCCUUGAGUACGCACAAAGUGGGCGGAAUUCGUGGUGUAGCGGUGAAAUGCUUAGAUAUCACGAAGAACUCCGAUUGCGAAGGCAGCUCACUGGAGCGCAACUGACGCUGAAGCUCGAAAGUGCGGGUAUCGAACAGGAUUAGAUACCCUGGUAGUCCGCACGGUAAACGAUGGAUGCCCGCUGUUGGUCUGAAUAGGUCAGCGGCCAAGCGAAAGCAUUAAGCAUCCCACCUGGGGAGUACGCCGGCAACGGUG
RNAcentral lists this ribosomal RNA (903 nucleotides) under uncultured bacterium. RNAcentral's name for it is "bacterial SSU rRNA". It matches the Rfam family "Bacterial small subunit ribosomal RNA", at positions 1 to 896 of the family's 1533-position model. The record is from RNAcentral.